CCUCUUUCAGUAGGGAAGAAGCGUAAGUGACGGUACCUGCAGAAGAAGCACCGGCUAACUACGUGCCAGCAGCCGCGGUAAUACGUAGGGUGCGAGCGUUAUCCGGAAUUAUUGGGCGUAAAGAGCUCGUAGGCGGUUUGUCGCGUCUGUCGUGAAAGUCCGGGGCUUAACCCCGGAUCUGCGGUGGGUACAGGCAGACUAGAGUGCAGUAGGGGUGACUGGAAUUCCUGGUGUAGCGGUGGAAUGCGCAGAUAUCAGGAGGAACACCGAUGGCGAAGGCAGGUCUCUGGGCUGUAACCGACGCUGAGGAGCGAAAGCAUGGGGAGCGAACAGGAUUAGAUACCCUGGUAGUCCAUGCCGUAAACGUUGGGCACUAGGUGUGGGGACCAUUCCACGGUUUCCGCGCCGCAGCUAACGCAUUAAGUGCCCCGCCUGGGGAGUACGGCCGCAAGGCUAAAACUCAAAUGAAUUGACGGA
RNAcentral lists this ribosomal RNA (477 nucleotides) under uncultured bacterium. RNAcentral's name for it is "bacterial SSU rRNA". It matches the Rfam family "Bacterial small subunit ribosomal RNA", at positions 430 to 917 of the family's 1533-position model. The record is from RNAcentral.